This is a small nuclear RNA of Ailuropoda melanoleuca (giant panda), 104 nucleotides long. The record is from Ensembl. Lineage: Eukaryota; Metazoa; Chordata; Mammalia; Carnivora; Ursidae.
GUGCUCACUUCGACAGCACAUAUACUAAAAUUGGAACGAAACAGAGAUUAGCACAGCCCCUGCACAAGGAUGACACGCAAAUUUCUGAAGUGUUCCAUAUUUUU